AUGGCUCGUAAGGUUUUCAACGUUGUGGCAUCCAUCCUCAUAUUGGCGUUCCUCAUGUCUUGUGAUGUGGUUCAAAGCACUUGCCAUGAGUAUACCAGCAAGGUCACUUGUCAUGACUCUUCGACAUGUCAGACGUGGUGCAAGUACAAUGGUGCCGAUGAUGGUCACUGCAAUAAAGGUUCAUGUGUGUGCCUGGAUUGCGGGUGGCGUGUGAUGGGUUCAACUUGA
Molecule: ribosomal RNA, 228 nt
Filed under: Triticum aestivum (bread wheat)
Lineage: Eukaryota; Viridiplantae; Streptophyta; Magnoliopsida; Poales; Poaceae
Description: partial small subunit ribosomal RNA
Source: RNAcentral